Columba livia (rock pigeon) is the source of this 3198-nucleotide long non-coding RNA. RefSeq lists it as uncharacterized. The record is from RefSeq and is a predicted model, not a curated record. The transcript has 4 exons. Lineage: Eukaryota; Metazoa; Chordata; Aves; Columbiformes; Columbidae.
ACCAGGCUCAUUGCUGCAGUCCUGCUGGCUCUUUGGGAGCUCCUUGCUGGAGGUGCACGUGACUGGCACCCUAACCCAUGCAACAGAGCAGCCCCAACAUCACUUCUUGAUAACAAGGAUCCAUUACAUGAAGGCAGCUGAUGAGGAAGACUGUGCUCAGCUGAGAUACCGGUGCUGCUGGGUCCUCUCAGGGGAAAUCUGCUCUGACACAUGUAAAAAGCAAGGUCUGAAGUGAUUUCAGAACUGUUCCCUGAGGGGUUUGGUUGCUGUCCUACACAUGGGAAAAUAACUGCUGGAUUGGGACUUUGCCAUGACCUGGCAGCACCCAUGGGACUCCUGCACGCUGCUGUGAUCUAAUCCUCAUGAAGUCUGACCCUUCCUUUCAAAUGAAGGCUAAUCCAUCACUCCCUGAUUGUGAAGAGCAUUAGCGGCUGACAAAUGCGGUGUUUACGGUGGCAAUAACAGCCUGAUUGAUGGCUGGGGCUGGGGAACUGCAGCUGGCAACUCUCCUGGUGACCAGCUGGUGGGGCAGGGACAGAGCUGCCAUGUCGAGCAUUUCCAAAGGCAUCCAUCUGGCUGGGCGGUCAUGAAAGUAUUCAUCAUAGGGGUGUCUAGACACCCACUCCACUGUGGGAAAUUCAGUGCAAGGAGACUUUACAUCGGAUUUCACUGCUUCAAAAUGCUAUUGAUUUUACUUGAAGAAGACGACCGAAUGUUUUGAAAGUUUUAAUAAGUUCACCUUUAAAAAAAAAAAAAAAAUGUUAUACCUGUUUUCUGAAGCUGGAAACUUUGGUCGUUUCAGAUGGGGUUUUAGUUACAAAACAUCCUAAGCAUCCUUAUCGUGAACAAAGCUUAAGCAUGAGUUUAACAUAUAGAAUUCGAUAGGCUUCAACAAGGGAAAAAGGCUUCCAGUUUAAAAAACCACAACUCUGUUGGGUUGUGAACUUCCACAGGCUGAAUACUUUCCAGAAUGAAGACCUAUGUUCUGAAAAUCAAACCUACCGAGUGACUUAAUACAACCAUAAAAUCUCUGCCUUUUCUACCCCUUGACUUCAUGGAGUUACAGUUUAGCUGUAAGCUUUUAUUGUGUGUUUUGCUUUGGUGUGUGUGCACUUGCUAAAUUGUAUUAUUGAAAGUAAUAUAACACAACUGAAAAGGGAUAAUACACCAGGGCUGUAUGUAUUUAAUGAAGACCCAAAGGCCACGAAGAAAUAAUUUUGACCCAACCAUGCCCCUGAAUAUUGAGUUUUGCCCGAGAGUAAAGAUAGAUUUGAAACAUAAUUCCGGAGCAUCUGUUCUGCUGCCAUCCAGCUGCUGGCAAAGAGGCUUCUUUAACAAAUAAAACAGAAUAUGAGAUGGGUGAAAGCAGAGGGCAAGAGUGAGGAGGAGGCUGUCUGAGGACAGGCCUCCAUCUGCAGGUCCUGUGGCAGCUCUGAUGGCUCCUCCUCAAGGGCAGGAGAGACCUUCUCAAAGAAAACACGUCGAAGCUGUGGACCAAAGGUUCUUACUGGUUUGAACUGCUUUGGAAAUAUAACAGUGCUGAUGAGCAGGGGAUUGUGACAACACCUCCCAGGAGCCAAGGUGUGAAUGUUCAAAGAUAUUGGUUUUUAAGCAGCAGAAACAUUUUUGUCUGAGAAACAGAAAAUAAAUGAGAACCACAAGAUAGGACAUUUAUGCAAGGCACCUAAUGUGGAAACUGUUUAUGAAGAGGAAAACCCACCAGUCAAACUAAAAGGAGGGAAAUAUGAGAGCGCCACAGGGCCUAAGCCAGGUUUUAACUAUUGGAGAGCAAGAUGGGUCAUGCGAGUCGUUCUCUGGAGGGGAAUUAUCUCACUUUAGUAAGUGAAGAUGUUAUAAAAAAUAAAAAGAAGAAUCAGAUUUAUGUAGAAAACCUCAGUGUCCACUGGAAAAAGUGGACCUCACCUCAGAAUCAAAGAUGACGUGGAGGCACAACAGCGUGUAACAUCUGUGCAACGUGAGCCAGUGCUGGUAUGGGACCAUUGCUUCAUGUCCAUGGUGUAACAGGUUAUUCUUGUUGGUGAGAAAUAUUAGGAGUUUAAUGCAAUUUAACUCUUUUGGGGCAUUCUGAUAAACAUUCAGAAAUAUGGUAUAUUUUAACAAAAACUGAAAAAAAUAAAAGCACCACAGGAAAAAACUUUUCUGAACAGCUCUAGUGCCUAGCUGGCUCAAGCUCAGAUAAAUAUUAGGAAGUCCCAAAGAGAUUAAUAUAGUGUGAGAUCUCUGUGUUUGAGGGCACCAUGAGGACUUGCAGGUCAGAGAAAUCAGAACUCCCAGAUUGGUUUGUAACCCAAAUACCUCCUGGUCCAUCAAAUCCUCUUGUGCGUUGCGUGUUGCCACACGGGAUCCCCAAAAGGCUUGUACUGACUUACCCAUAAGCGAUUAUUUUGUUUCCUAAAGACAUGUUUGUUCAACUUUGUCCCUUAAACAAGAACAAAACACUCUGCAUAAUUCAGCAUCAUAAGAACAAUGAAUUAAUUAAGAGGUGUUGGAUGGAUUAAGUCAUGUGUAAGGCCUGGUGUUAUAAGACAAUAGUUAAACAACCCGUUGUAUUACUGUAAUCAGAGUUAUAGAAAUUACAGUAAAGGAGCACCAAAAGGUAAUUUCCAGUUUGGCUAAACCCUCUCUGAUUCCCUCUGGCCAAAAUUCAAUGCCCCUAUAGAAAUCUCUAAUCCUCACACAGAACACUGAAGCUUUUUACACAAGCUCAUUUACUGCUGAGAGCUUCAUCUUGGCUUCAGCUGAGCUGAUAAGUAGGCACAGAAAGACUUUCAGAUUAGGAAGACAAAUAAAUAUUUGAAAAUGAUUAAACUAAAAGAAGGUUCAAUUGUAUAAUGUUCCAGGGCUGAUUUAGGUACAUGAAAUCGAGAAACAGAAAGUGAAUACAGCGAUCCCUGGGUCUGCAGAAGCUGAUACACGUGAUGUGGGAUCACCUCCUGGUACAAGAAGAAGGUUGAUUUAAACAUCUUCAGUUUGCUUGAAUUGGCAUCAUUGUACUGAGCCAAAGAUGGUAGAGUAAAUCUAGAGUAAACCAGUUGAGAUCUGCCACUGAUCAGUACAUUUUGUCGUUCUUUCUUGCUCUCCUGAGUAUAUUCUACAUAUGCAUACAGUGACAACUGACCCUGAGACAAAAAAAAAGUAACCUGUUGUAGGAAGAACUUGUGUUUAAUACAAGAUAGA